UGGGGAAUAUUGCACAAUGGGCGCAAGCCUGAUGCAGCGACGCCGCGUGGGGGAUGACGGCCUUCGGGUUGUAAACUUCUUUCGCCAGGGACGAAGCGUUUUGUGACGGUACCUGGAGAAGAAGCACCGGCUAACUACGUGCCAGCAGCCGCGGUAAUACGUAGGGUGCAAGCGUUGUCCGGAAUUACUGGGCGUAAAGAGCUCGUAGGUGGUUUGUCACGUCGUCUGUGAAAUUCCACAGCUUAACUGUGGGCGUGCAGGCGAUACGGGCUGACUUGAGUACUGUAGGGGUAACUGGAAUUCCUGGUGUAGCGGUGAAAUGCGCAGAUAUCAGGAGGAACACCGAUGGCGAAGGCAGGUUACUGGGCAGUUACUGACGCUGAGGAGCGAAAGCAUGGGUAGCAAACAGGAUUAGAUACCCUGGUAGUCCAUGCCGUAAACGGUGGGCGCUAGGUGUAGGGGCCUUUUGGGGUUUCUGUGCCGUAGCUAACGCAUUAAGCGCCCCGCCUGGGGAGUACGGCCGCAAGGCUA
RNAcentral lists this ribosomal RNA (531 nucleotides) under uncultured bacterium. Its description in RNAcentral is "bacterial SSU rRNA". It matches the Rfam family "Bacterial small subunit ribosomal RNA", at positions 355 to 896 of the family's 1533-position model. The record is from RNAcentral.